GAUGAACGCUGACAGAAUGCUUAACACAUGCAAGUCUACUUGAAGUAACUUCGGUUAUGGAUGGUGGCGGACGGGUGAGUAACGCGUAAAUAACUUGCCCCCUAGUCUGGGACAACUGUUGGAAACGACAGCUAAUACUAGAUAUUAUGAGACCUUGGCAUCAAGGACUUAUGAAAGCUAUAUGCGCUAGGGGAGAGAUUUGCGUCCUAUUAGCUAGUUGGUGAGGUAAUGGCUCACCAAGGCGACGAUAGGUAGCCGGCCUGAGAGGGUGAACGGCCACAAGGGGGACUGAGACACGGCCCUUACUCCUACGGGAGGCAGCAGUGGGGAAUAUUGGACAAUGGACCAAAAGUCUGAUCCAGCAAUUCUGUGUGCUUGAUGAAGGCC
Molecule: ribosomal RNA, 387 nt
Filed under: uncultured bacterium
Lineage: Bacteria
Description: bacterial SSU rRNA
Rfam family: Bacterial small subunit ribosomal RNA
Source: RNAcentral